CAUUGACAGUCGAAAAGAGAAGACGAGCAAGCACUUGAUGGUGGUGUCUGAGACAAGUGCCAACCGGUUCUUGCUUCACUUCGUGAUAAGCAAAAAGCAAAUGGCGUCGUUGCUACCGCUGUCGGCGACGGCCCGAAAUUGUUAUGGCAAGCAAUUUGGGCCACAGCAGAGACUCAUGCUUCUGCAUCGCUUCGUUACAGAGCGCGCUCAUACACACAAGAAGUCGCGCAUUCAAAUUGGCAACGUCUUCUUCUCAGAAGAAGAAGAAGUGGUAAAAGAAGAGGAAAAAUGUGAAGAACUGUGAGCGUCGGAGUGUAAUAAGGACACGAGCGGCGAAGGAGCGGUGGCCCCCGAGAGAUGGUACGCUCGUGGGUGACUGGCAAGCCGGUUUGAGGAUGAGAGUGCUUCUGUUUU
This is a non-coding RNA of Caenorhabditis elegans, 414 nucleotides long. The record is from Ensembl. Lineage: Eukaryota; Metazoa; Nematoda; Chromadorea; Rhabditida; Rhabditidae.